This 434-nucleotide ribosomal RNA is filed under the name uncultured Bacillota bacterium. Its description in RNAcentral is "bacterial SSU rRNA". It matches the Rfam family "Bacterial small subunit ribosomal RNA", at positions 917 to 1359 of the family's 1533-position model. The record is from RNAcentral. Lineage: Bacteria; Bacillati; Bacillota.
GGGCCCGCACAAGCAGUGGAUUAUGUGGUUUAAUUCGAAGCAACGCGAAGAACCUUACCAGGUCUUGACAUCGUGCGCAUAGCAUAGAGAUAUGUGAAGCCCUUCGGGGCGCAUAGACAGGUGGUGCAUGGUUGUCGUCAGCUCGUGUCGUGAGAUGUUGGGUUAAGUCCCGCAACGAGCGCAACCCUUACUAUUAGUUGCUACGCAAGAGCACUCUAAUGGGACUGCCGUUGACAAAACGGAGGAAGGUGGGGAUGACGUCAAAUCAUCAUGCCCUUUAUGACCUGGGCUACACACGUAAUACAAUGGCAAUUAACAGAGGGAUGCUAAGGCCGCGAGGUGGAGCGAACCCCAAAAUUGUCUCAGUUCGGAUUGUAGGCUGCAACUCGCCUGCAUGAAGUCGGAAUUGCUAGUAAUCGCGGAUCAGCAUGCCG